Molecule: long non-coding RNA, 506 nt
Organism: Leopardus geoffroyi (Geoffroy's cat)
Lineage: Eukaryota; Metazoa; Chordata; Mammalia; Carnivora; Felidae
Exons: 3
Source: RefSeq, a predicted model, not a curated record
CGCGGCGGAGGGCUGGAUCUGAGACGCGCUGGCGGCGGGGAAGUUGGCUGCGGUGGGGUGCCUGGGCUGCGGGCUGGUGCUGUCGGGGUAGCUGCCCCGCGACCCGGGCGCCUCGGGAGGGAAGUGGCGGCCCCGGAAGGCCCCUGCCUUAGAGAGGUCUGGGGCCGUCCAGAGCCCCAAGAGCCGCAGCGUGUCGGCGCGCUGUGAAGCGAGAAGCCCAGCCGCAGCGCGGACCGUCUCCGGAUUGACAACGCCCACACCUGGUGUCCGCGGGAGGCGCCGAACUUGGCGUCCCCAAAGGAGCCCCAGCGAGGAAACCGAGACCCAAAGAGGGAUGAAGAAGUUUGUGGAAUGGCUUGGGAAUGAGAAGACUGAGUUGAGGCCAUGGAAGCUGGGCUGGUCCUUUUGUGGAUGAGGAAAAAUCCACAAUACAUACAUCUGGGGACUUUCCAUAUUGAUGGAAGAAAGUGUUCAGGAUACCUAAGUGAAUCCCAUUGAAGGCAUGU